Molecule: ribosomal RNA, 2906 nt
Filed under: Salmonella enterica subsp. indica
Lineage: Bacteria; Pseudomonadati; Pseudomonadota; Gammaproteobacteria; Enterobacterales; Enterobacteriaceae
Description: bacterial LSU rRNA
Rfam family: Bacterial large subunit ribosomal RNA
Source: RNAcentral
UUAAGCGACCAAGCGUACACGGUGGAUGCCCUGGCAGUCAGAGGCGAUGAAGGGCGUGCUAAUCUGCGAUAAGCGCCGGUAAGGUGAUAUGAACCGUUAUAACCGGCGAUACCCGAAUGGGGAAACCCAGUGUGUUUCGACACACUAUCAUUAACUGAAUCCAUAGGUUAAUGAGGCGAACCGGGGGAACUGAAACAUCUAAGUACCCCGAGGAAAAGAAAUCAACCGAGAUUCCCCCAGUAGCGGCGAGCGAACGGGGAGGAGCCCAGAGCCUGAAUCAGCAUGUGUGUUAGUGGAAGCGUCUGGAAAGGCGCGCGAUACAGGGUGACAGCCCCGUACACAAAAGCGCACGUACUGUGAGCUCGAUGAGUAGGGCGGGACACGUGGUAUCCUGUCUGAAUAUGGGGGGACCAUCCUCCAAGGCUAAAUACUCCUGACUGACCGAUAGUGAACCAGUACCGUGAGGGAAAGGCGAAAAGAACCCCGGCGAGGGGAGUGAAACAGAACCUGAAACCGUGUACGUACAAGCAGUGGGAGCACAGGUUUACCUGUGUGACUGCGUACCUUUUGUAUAAUGGGUCAGCGACUUAUAUUCUGUAGCAAGGUUAACCGCAUAGGGGAGCCGGAGGGAAACCGAGUCUUAAUUGGGCGUUAAGUUGCAGGGUAUAGACCCGAAACCCGGUGAUCUAGCCAUGGGCAGGUUGAAGGUUGGGUAACACUAACUGGAGGACCGAACCGACUAAUGUUGAAAAAUUAGCGGAUGACCUGUGGCUGGGGGUGAAAGGCCAAUCAAACCGGGAGAUAGCUGGUUCUCCCCGAAAGCUAUUUAGGUAGCGCCUCGUGAAUUCAUCUCCGGGGGUAGAGCACUGUUUCGGCUAGGGGGCCAUCCCGGCUUACCAACCCGAUGCAAACUGCGAAUACCGGAGAAUGUUAUCACGGGAGACACACGGCGGGUGCUAACGUCCGUCGUGAAGAGGGAAACAACCCAGACCGCCAGCUAAGGUCCCAAAGUCAUGGUUAAGUGGGAAACGAUGUGGGAAGGCCCAGACAGCCAGGAUGUUGGCUUAGAAGCAGCCAUCAUUUAAAGAAAGCGUAAUAGCUCACUGGUCGAGUCGGCCUGCGCGGAAGAUGUAACGGGGCUAAACCAUGCACCGAAGCUGCGGCAGCGACACUUAAGUGUUGUUGGGUAGGGGAGCGUUCUGUAAGCCUGUGAAGGUGGCCUGUGAGGGUUGCUGGAGGUAUCAGAAGUGCGAAUGCUGACAUAAGUAACGAUAAAGCGGGUGAAAAGCCCGCUCGCCGGAAGACCAAGGGUUCCUGUCCAACGUUAAUCGGGGCAGGGUGAGUCGACCCCUAAGGCGAGGCCGAAAGGCGUAGUCGAUGGGAAACGGGUUAAUAUUCCCGUACUUGGUGUUACUGCGAAGGGGGGACGGAGAAGGCUAUGUUGGCCGGGCGACGGUUGUCCCGGUUUAAGCGUGUAGGCUGGUUUUCCAGGCAAAUCCGGAAAAUCAAGGCUGAGGCGUGACGACGAGGCACCACGGUGCUGAAGCAACAAAUGCCCUGCUUCCAGGAAAAGCCUCUAAGCAUCAGGUAACACGAAAUCGUACCCCAAACCGACACAGGUGGUCAGGUAGAGAAUACCAAGGCGCUUGAGAGAACUCGGGUGAAGGAACUAGGCAAAAUGGUGCCGUAACUUCGGGAGAAGGCACGCUGACACGUAGGUGAAGUGAUUUACUCAUGGAGCUGAAGUCAGUCGAAGAUACCAGCUGGCUGCAACUGUUUAUUAAAAACACAGCACUGUGCAAACACGAAAGUGGACGUAUACGGUGUGACGCCUGCCCGGUGCCGGAAGGUUAAUUGAUGGGGUUAUCCUCGCGGAGAAGCUCCUGAUCGAAGCCCCGGUAAACGGCGGCCGUAACUAUAACGGUCCUAAGGUAGCGAAAUUCCUUGUCGGGUAAGUUCCGACCUGCACGAAUGGCGUAAUGAUGGCCAGGCUGUCUCCACCCGAGACUCAGUGAAAUUGAACUCGCUGUGAAGAUGCAGUGUACCCGCGGCAAGACGGAAAGACCCCGUGAACCUUUACUAUAGCUUGACACUGAACAUUGAGCCUUGAUGUGUAGGAUAGGUGGGAGGCUUUGAAGCGUGGACGCCAGUCUGCGUGGAGCCAACCUUGAAAUACCACCCUUUAAUGUUUGAUGUUCUAACGUGGACCCGUUACCCGGGUUGCGGACAGUGUCUGGUGGGUAGUUUGACUGGGGCGGUCUCCUCCCAAAGAGUAACGGAGGAGCACGAAGGUUGGCUAAUCCUGGUCGGACAUCAGGAGGUUAGUGCAAUGGCAUAAGCCAGCUUGACUGCGAGCGUGACGGCGCGAGCAGGUGCGAAAGCAGGUCAUAGUGAUCCGGUGGUUCUGAAUGGAAGGGCCAUCGCUCAACGGAUAAAAGGUACUCCGGGGAUAACAGGCUGAUACCGCCCAAGAGUUCAUAUCGACGGCGGUGUUUGGCACCUCGAUGUCGGCUCAUCACAUCCUGGGGCUGAAGUAGGUCCCAAGGGUAUGGCUGUUCGCCAUUUAAAGUGGUACGCGAGCUGGGUUUAGAACGUCGUGAGACAGUUCGGUCCCUAUCUGCCGUGGGCGCUGGAGAACUGAGGGGGGCUGCUCCUAGUACGAGAGGACCGGAGUGGACGCAUCACUGGUGUUCGGGUUGUCAUGCCAAUGGCACUGCCCGGUAGCUAAAUGCGGAAGAGAUAAGUGCUGAAAGCAUCUAAGCACGAAACUUGCCCCGAGAUGAGUUCUCCCUGAGACCUUGAGUCUCCUGAAGGAACGUUGAAGACGACGACGUUGAUAGGCCGGGUGUGUAAGCGCAGCGAUGCGUUGAGCUAACCGGUACUAAUGAACCGUGAGGCUUAACCUU